CUUCCAAUUUCAUCUCACACUCGCUUGCAGUUUUCCCAAUAUCGGCCUUUUGCUGCUUGCUCAACCCGGGAACUUCAUCAGGAUCUGCGUCCAGCUCCACCUCUGCAAGGUACUGGGCCUCCACAUCGUCAUUUGCUUCCAUGACUUUGUUGGCCUCAGUUAUGAGCCUUUUGAAAUGGUCUCUGAGCUCCUCUUCAGCCAUUAUGGCGUGCAUCCGGACAAUGUUGUUGGACAGCCGGGAGAAUUGUCGCUUUGCAGACGUCCUACUAGCUUUAAGCUGCUCCAGUGACUUUGAGUCAGCCAUCUUCCUUUUCACCAGGAUUCGGUGUGGGCGGGUGUUACUAGGCCUCUGGACUUCCAGGCCUGGCCAGUUGCAGUUCAGGAUACUUCGCUCCAGUCUUCGCACCAGUGGCGGUUUUUCACUGUCAAGUGUCUCACUUUUGUGAGGGUCAAACUGCAGCCCCCCACUUGAAAGGGCAGCUUGCUAUGAAGUGUGGACUGGAUUCCACUCAAUGACCAAGAUUCGGACUUCUUUGCUUUCUUGCUUUUUAUUUUUAAGAUUGUCCAGGUCAAACC
Molecule: long non-coding RNA, 576 nt
Organism: Gasterosteus aculeatus aculeatus (three-spined stickleback)
Lineage: Eukaryota; Metazoa; Chordata; Actinopteri; Perciformes; Gasterosteidae
Source: Ensembl